This 253-nucleotide ribosomal RNA is filed under the name uncultured bacterium. RNAcentral's name for it is "partial 16S ribosomal RNA". It matches the Rfam family "Bacterial small subunit ribosomal RNA", at positions 524 to 776 of the family's 1533-position model. The record is from RNAcentral.
UACGUAGGCAGCGAGCGUUGUCCGGAAUCACUGGGCGUAAAGGGCGCGUAGGCGGCUUGAUAAGCGUGCGGUGAAAGCCCGGGGCUCAACCCCGGGUCGGCCGUGCGAACUGUCGAGCUGGAGCACUGUAGAGGCAGGUGGAAUUCCGGGUGUAGCGGUGGAAUGCGUAGAGAUCCGGAAGAACACCGGUGGCGAAGGCGGCCUGCUGGGCAGUGGCUGACGCUGAGGCGCGACAGCGUGGGGAGCAAACAGG